AUUGGGGGGUACACGAGUGGCGAACGGGUGAGUAACACGUGGGUGACCUGCCCUGUACUUCGGAUAAGCCUGGGAAACUGGGUCUAUACCGGAUAUGACCUUCUCCUGCAUGGGGGUUGGUGGAAAGUUUUUGCGGUACAGGAUGGGCCCGCGGCCUAUCAGCUUGUUGGUGGGGGUAAUGGCCUACCAAGGCGACGACGGUAGCCGGCCUGAGAGGGCGACCGGCCACACUGGGACUGAGAACACGGCCAGACUCCUACGGGAGGCAGCAGUGGGGGAAUAUUGCACAAUGGGCGAAAGCCUGAUGCAGCGACGCCGCGUGAGGGAUGACGGCCUUCGGGUUGUAAACCUCUUUCAGUAGGGGGUACGAGCGCAAGUGAGGUACCUACAGAAGAAGCACCGGCCAACUACGUGCCAGCAGCCGCGGUAAUACGUAGGGUGCGAGCGUUGUCCGGAUUUACUGGGCGUAAAGAGCUCGAGGCGGUUUGUUCACGUCGUCUGUGAAAACCCAGGCUUAACCUCGGGCCUGCAGGCGAUACGGGCAGACUUGAGUACUGUGGGGAGACUGGAAUUCUGGUGUAGCGGUGGAAUGCGCAGAUAUCCAGGAGGAACACCGGUGAGCGAAGGCGGGUCUCUGGGCAGUAACUGACGCUGAGGAGCGAAAGCGUGGGUAGCGAACAGGAUUAGAUACCCUGGUAGCCACGCCGUAAAGGUGGGUACUUAGGUGUGGGUUCCUUCCACGGGAUCCGUGCCGUGCUAACGCAUUAAGUACCCCGCCUGGGGAGUACGGCCGCAAGGCUAAAACUCAAAGGAAUUGACGGGGGCCCGCACAAGCGGCGGAGCAUGUGGAUUAAUUCGAUGCAGCGAAGAACCUUACCUGGGUUGACAUAUAGAGGAUCGCCGGAGAGAUUCGGUUUGCCUUGUGCCUUCUAUACAGGUGGUGCAUGGCUGUCGUCAGCUCGUGUCGUGAGAUGUUGGGUUAAGUCCCGCAACGAGCGCAACCCUUGGUCUCAUGUUGCCAGCCGUAAUGUGGGGACUCGUGAGAGACUGCCGGGGUCAACUCGGAGGAAGGUGGGGGGAUGACGUCAAGUCAUCAUGCCCCUUAUGUCCAGGGCUUCACACAUGCUACAAUGGCGCGUACAGAGGGCUGCGAUACCGUGAGGUGGAGCGAAUCCCUUAAAGCGCGUCUCAGUUCGGAUUGGGGUCUGCAACUCGACCCCAUGAAGUCGGAGUCGCUAGUAAAUCGCAGAUCAGCAACGCUGGGUGAAUACGUUCCCGGGCCUUGUACACACCGCCCGUCACGUCAUGAAAGUCGGUAACACCCGAAGCCGGUGGCCUAACCCCUUGUUAGAA
Molecule: ribosomal RNA, 1353 nt
Filed under: Tsukamurella sp.
Lineage: Bacteria; Bacillati; Actinomycetota; Actinomycetes; Mycobacteriales; Tsukamurellaceae
Description: bacterial SSU rRNA
Rfam family: Bacterial small subunit ribosomal RNA
Source: RNAcentral